This 550-nucleotide ribosomal RNA is filed under the name Cicindela lagunensis. Its description in RNAcentral is "partial 16S ribosomal RNA". The stretch from base 117 to 480 matches the Rfam family "Bacterial large subunit ribosomal RNA", at positions 2073 to 2647 of the family's 2925-position model. Lineage: Eukaryota; Metazoa; Arthropoda; Insecta; Coleoptera; Carabidae. The record is from RNAcentral.
AGCAUAAUUAUUAGUUUUUUAAUUGAAAGCUUGUAUGAAGGGUUGGACGAGAUAAAAUCUGUCUUUAUUUAAAUUAUUAUAGAAUUUAACUUUUAAGUCAAAAGGCUUAAAUGUAUGUAAAAGACGAGAAGACCCUAUAGAUCUUUAUUUAACUAAUAUUUUGAUAAUUUAGGAUUAUUUUAGUUUAAAGUUUUAGUUAAAUUUUAUUGGGGUAAUAUAAAGAUUAAAUAAAUUCUUUUUAUUUAUUACAUUGAUUUAUGAAUAUAUGAUCCGAUAUUAUUGAUUAUAAGAUUAAGUUACCUUAGGGAUAACAGCGUAAUUUUUUUGGAGAGCUCAUAUCGAUAAAAAAGUUUGCGACCUCGAUGUUGGAUUAAAAAUUAGCUUGGGUGCAGAAGCUCAAGAUUUUGGUCUGUUCGACCAUUAAAUUUUUACAUGAUCUGAGUUCAGACCGGCGUAAGCCAGGUCGGUUUCUAUCUUUACUUAUCUAAAAUAUUUUAGUACGAAAGGACCAAAUAUUUAAUAUAAUUAUAUUUAUUUUUUGAAUAAUAUU